Molecule: ribosomal RNA, 442 nt
Filed under: uncultured bacterium
Lineage: Bacteria
Description: partial 16S rRNA
Source: RNAcentral
GCACGUAGUUAGCCGGCGCUUCUUCUGCAGGUACCGUCACUUUCGCUUCUUCCCUGCUGAAAGAGGUUUACAACCCGAAGGCCGUCAUCCCUCACGCGGCGUCGCUGCAUCAGGCUUUCGCCCAUUGUGCAAUAUUCCCCACUGCUGCCUCCCGUAGGAGUCUGGGCCGUGUCUCAGUCCCAGUGUGGCCGGUCGCCCUCUCAGGCCGGCUACCCGUCGUCGCCUUGGUAGGCCAUCACCCCACCAACUAGCUGAUAGGCCGCGGGCUCAUCCUUCACCGCCGGAGCUUUUAACCCCGUCCCAUGCGGGACAGAGUGUUAUCCGGUAUUAGACCCCGUUUCCAGGGCUUGUCCCAGAGUGAAGGGCAGAUUGCCCACGUGUUACUCACCCGUUCGCCACUAAUCCACCCCGAAAGGCUUCAUCGUUCGACUUGCAUGUGUUA